AUUUCAUUUUUAUUUUUCCAUGACAAGGACUUCAAAUCCAUGCCAGAUAAUUUCUUAUCAGCUUAAUAUCUGAUACGUCCCCUAUCUGGGGACCAUAUAUUAAAUGGAUUUUUGAGAACGGGGGCCGGUUUCGAAGAUUGCUUGUGUCACCCUAUGCAUUGACACGAUAUGGCAGUAUCUUCGGGUACAGUGCACCAAAA
Small nuclear RNA from Hyla sarda, 200 nucleotides. RefSeq annotates it as U2 spliceosomal RNA. The record is from RefSeq and is a predicted model, not a curated record. NCBI's taxonomy places the organism in Eukaryota, Metazoa, Chordata, Amphibia, Anura, Hylidae. The transcript has a single exon.